GAUGAACGCUAGCGGCAGGCCUAACACAUGCAAGUCGAGGGAGAAGUCCUUCGGGGCAGAAACCGGCGCACGGGUGCGUAACGCGUAUGCAACCUACCUUUCACAGGGGGAUAGCCCGAAGAAAUUUGGAUUAAUACCCCAUAAUAUUAUUGGAUGGCAUCAUUUGAUAAUUAAAAUUACGAUGGUGAAAGAUGGGCAUGCGUCCUAUUAGCUAGUUGGAGUGGUAACGGCACCCCAAGGCUACGAUAGGUAGGGGUCCUGAGAGGGAGAUCCCCCACACUGGUACUGAGACAGGGACCAGACUCCUACGGGAGGCAGCAGUGAGGAAUAUUGGUCAAUGGUCGGAAGACUGAACCAGCCAUGCCGCGUGCAGGAAGAAUGCCUUAUGGGUUGUAAACUGCUUUUAUAUGGGAAGAAUAAGGAGUACGUGUACUUNGANGACGGUNCCA
Molecule: ribosomal RNA, 449 nt
Filed under: uncultured bacterium
Lineage: Bacteria
Description: bacterial SSU rRNA
Rfam family: Bacterial small subunit ribosomal RNA
Source: RNAcentral